CAUCAUGCUAAACCGAGGCAUAGUAGCUUAAUAAAUUAAACUGUCUGCCACCACGAAUGACAUACCUCGCACGGUUGAUCUUAUUUUAGGCCGUGGGGUAGUAUUCAUGAUUCAGAUUAAUAUUUAGAUAUGUAUGGGAAUCAGGUAUUGUGGAUUCAUGGCUUCCAAUAAACGCAAGCGUUUAUUGUUAAUUACCCCUACAAAGUGUUAGGGCACCUUCGAUUAAGUGACCUUUGUAAUGCUGUGAUUGCAUAAUUCAGUAUGACAGUUGAUUGAAUUUGAUUCUGAACCAAGAUAUCAAAGUAUAUGAUCAAAUUGACGUUUCAGUGCUCAACAAUAUUGUUCACCCUAAGGUGAAAGAUUGGUUAAAUUCCCUAUAUAUAUAUUGGAAUUUAAUCAGAUUUGAUCCGAAUUAAACUCUAAUUAAAUGAAUUAGAGUUUGAUUUAGUUAAUUAAACUUUAAAUAUAUAUGAUAAAGUCCAAUGGAAUUUGAUUUGAGCUUUCAUCCUAAAUGUAUGUGUUAGGAUUAGCCCAAAUAUUUUGAAUUAGGCUCUAAUUUUAUAUCUUAGAGUCUAGUGUA
RNAcentral lists this long non-coding RNA (580 nucleotides) under Ananas comosus (pineapple). Its description in RNAcentral is "long non-coding RNA (ACOM_LNC003201)". Lineage: Eukaryota; Viridiplantae; Streptophyta; Magnoliopsida; Poales; Bromeliaceae. The record is from RNAcentral.